This 328-nucleotide ribosomal RNA is filed under the name uncultured eukaryote. RNAcentral describes it as "partial 18S ribosomal RNA". It matches the Rfam family "Eukaryotic small subunit ribosomal RNA", at positions 1470 to 1796 of the family's 1831-position model. The record is from RNAcentral.
CCCUUAGAUGUCCGGGGCUGCACGCGCGCUACACUGAAGGAAUCAGCGUGCUAAAACCAUUGUCGAAAGGCAUUGGUAAGCCCAUUAAAAUCCUACGUGAUUGGGAUCGGGAAUUGCAAUUAUUUCCCUUGAACGAGGAAUUCCCAGUAAGUGUGGGUCAUAAGCUCGCGUUGAUUACGUCCCUGCCCUUUGUACACACCGCCCGUCGCUGCCCGGGACUGAGCCGUUUCGAGAAAAGCGGGGACUGCUGCUGUCGGGGCUUUCGGGCCUUGGCUUCGGUGGAAACCGCUUUAAUCGCAGUGGCUUGAACCGGGCAAAAGUCGUAACA